RNAcentral lists this ribosomal RNA (1370 nucleotides) under uncultured bacterium. RNAcentral's name for it is "bacterial SSU rRNA". It matches the Rfam family "Bacterial small subunit ribosomal RNA". The record is from RNAcentral.
AUAGCCAAGUAUGAUUAGAUGGCUCAGAAUCACGCUGGCGGGUGCCUAACACAUGCAGUCGAACGAGAAGUGGAGCAUCCAUGAGUAAAGUGGCGACCGGGUGAGUAACACGUAACUAACCUACCUUCGAGUGGGGUAUAACUCGGGAAACCGGGGCUAAUACCGCAUAACAUCUUUGGAGUGGAAAUUCUGGAGAUCAAAGGAGCAAUUCCCUGGAAGAGGGGGUCGCGGCUGAUUAGCUAGUUGGCGGGGUAACGGAUCCACCAAGGCUUAGAUCGGUAGCCGGCCUGAGAGGGCGCACGGCCACACUGGAACUGACCACACGGUCCAGACUCCUACGGGAGGCAGCAGUGGGGAAUUUUGCGCAAUGGGGGAAACCCGGACGCAGCAACGCCGCUUGGAGGAUGAAGUCCUUUGGGACGUAAACUCCUUUCGACCCGGACGAUAAUGACGGUACGGGUGGAAGAAGCCCCGGCUAACUUCGUGCCAGCAGCCGCGGUAAUACGAGGGGGGCAAGCGUUGUUCGGAAUUAUUGGGCGUAAAGGGCGCGUAGGCGGUGCGGUAAUUCACCUGUGUACCUCUAGGCUCAACCUAGAGCCUGCAGGCGAAACUGCCGUGCUUGAGAGUGGGAGAGGUGCGAGGAAUUCCCGCCGUAGCGGUGAAAUGCGUAGAUAUCGGGAGGAACACGUGUGGCGAAAGCGGCGCACUGGACCACAUCUGACGCUGAGGCGCGAAAGCUAAGGGAGCUAACAGGAUUAGAUACCCUGGUAGUCCUAGCCUUAAACGAUGGAUGCUUGGUGUGGUCGGUACCCAGUCCGGCUGUGCCGAUGCUAACGCGAUAAGCAUCCCGCCUGGGGAGUACAGUCGCAAGGCUGAAACUCAAAGGAAUUGACGGGGGCCCGCACAAGCGGUGGAGCAUGUGGUUCAAUUCGACGCAACGCGAAGAACCUUACCUGGGCUCGAUUCACAGUGGACCUGGGUAGCAACAUCCCUUUUCGCAAGAACUGCUGUGGAGGUGCUGCAUGGCUGUCGUCAGCUCGUGUCGUGCGAUGUUGGGUCAAGUCCCGCAACGAGCGCAACCCUUAUCGUUUGCAGCCAGGGGGUCAAGCCGGGCACUCUAGCGAAACCGCCCCGGAUAACGGGGAGGAAGGUUGGGAUGACGUCAAGUCCUCAUGGCCUUUAUGUCCAGGGCUACACACGUGCUACAAUGGUCGGUACAAACUGUCGCAACCUGCGAAGGGGAGCUAAUCGUAAUCAAGCCGGCCCCAGUUCGGAAUUUAGUAUGAACUCGAUUCCAUGAAACUGGUAGCGCUAGUAAUCGCGGAUCAGCACGCCGCGGUGAAUAAGUUCCCGGGCCUUGCAGCUACCUA